This is a small nucleolar RNA of Lepisosteus oculatus (spotted gar), 139 nucleotides long. The record is from Ensembl. Lineage: Eukaryota; Metazoa; Chordata; Actinopteri; Semionotiformes; Lepisosteidae.
GGUGCACACUGUUAAAGCCCCGGGCCGAGGUCGGUCUGUGGGUGUCGGAAGUGUGCGAGAGCAAGCGGCCAGGUUUUCGCUAACACCAUGAGGGCUGUGGCCCCAUGACUGGGGUUUGAUAGUGACCUGAGCCACAGGC